GGUUAAGCGACUAAGCGUACACGGUGGAUGCCCUGGCAGUCAGAGGCGAUGAAGGGCGUGCUAAUCUGCGAUAAGCGCCGGUAAGGUGAUAUGAACCGUUAUAACCGGCGAUACCCGAAUGGGGAAACCCAGUGUGACUCGUCACACUAUCAUUAACUGAAUCCAUAGGUUAAUGAGGCGAACCGGGGGAACUGAAACAUCUAAGUACCCCGAGGAAAAGAAAUCAACCGAGAUUCCCCCAGUAGCGGCGAGCGAACGGGGAGGAGCCCAGAGCCUGAAUCAGCAUGUGUGUUAGUGGAAGCGUCUGGAAAGGCGCGCGAUACAGGGUGACAGCCCCGUACACAAAAGCGCAUGUGCUGUGAGCUCGAUGAGUAGGGCGGGACACGUGGUAUCCUGUCUGAAUAUGGGGGGACCAUCCUCCAAGGCUAAAUACUCCUGACUGACCGAUAGUGAACCAGUACCGUGAGGGAAAGGCGAAAAGAACCCCGGCGAGGGGAGUGAAAAAGAACCUGAAACCGUGUACGUACAAGCAGUGGGAGCCCCACCACUAAGCCAGUGGUGAACUCCACAUACGCAUCCUUUGCUGAGGAUACGGUUAACGGAGCGAAAGCGACGUUCAACCUCAAAAGAAGCAGAGGGGGCUUAGUGGUGGGGUGACUGCGUACCUUUUGUAUAAUGGGUCAGCGACUUAUAUUCUGUAGCAAGGUUAACCGUAUAGGGGAGCCGGAGGGAAACCGAGUCUUAACCGGGCGUUAAGUUGCAGGGUAUAGACCCGAAACCCGGUGAUCUAGCCAUGGGCAGGUUGAAGGUUGGGUAACACUAACUGGAGGACCGAACCGACUAAUGUUGAAAAAUUAGCGGAUGACCUGUGGCUGGGGGUGAAAGGCCAAUCAAACCGGGAGAUAGCUGGUUCUCCCCGAAAGCUAUUUAGGUAGCGCCUCGUGAAUUCAUCUCCGGGGGUAGAGCACUGUUUCGGCUAGGGGGCCAUCCCGGCUUACCAACCCGAUGCAAACUGCGAAUACCGGAGAAUGUUAUCACGGGAGACACACGGCGGGUGCUAACGUCCGUCGUGAAGAGGGAAACAACCCAGACCGCCAGCUAAGGUCCCAAAGUCAUGGUUAAGUGGGAAACGAUGUGGGAAGGCCCAGACAGCCAGGAUGUUGGCUUAGAAGCAGCCAUCAUUUAAAGAAAGCGUAAUAGCUCACUGGUCGAGUCGGCCUGCGCGGAAGAUGUAACGGGGCUAAACCAUGCACCGAAGCUGCGGCAGCGACGCUUAUGCGUUGUUGGGUAGGGGAGCGUUCUGUAAGCCUGCGAAGGUGGCCUGUGAGGGUUGCUGGAGGUAUCAGAAGUGCGAAUGCUGACAUAAGUAACGAUAAAGCGGGUGAAAAGCCCGCUCGCCGGAAGACCAAGGGUUCCUGUCCAACGUUAAUCGGGGCAGGGUGAGUCGACCCCUAAGGCGAGGCCGAAAGGCGUAGUCGAUGGGAAACAGGUUAAUAUUCCUGUACUUGGUGUUACUGCGAAGGGGGGACGGAGAAGGCUAUGUUGGCCGGGCGACGGUUGUCCCGGUUUAAGCGUGUAGGUGUGUGUUCCAGGUAAAUCCGGUUCACUUUAACACUGAGGCGUGACGACGAGGCACUACGGUGCUGAAGCAACAAAUGCCCUGCUUCCAGGAAAAGCCUCUAAGCAUCAGGUAACAUCAAAUCGUACCCCAAACCGACACAGGUGGUCAGGUAGAGAAUACCAAGGCGCUUGAGAGAACUCGGGUGAAGGAACUAGGCAAAAUGGUGCCGUAACUUCGGGAGAAGGCACGCUGACACGUAGGUGAAGUGAUUUACUCAUGGAGCUGAAGUCAGUCGAAGAUACCAGCUGGCUGCAACUGUUUAUUAAAAACACAGCACUGUGCAAACACGAAAGUGGACGUAUACGGUGUGACGCCUGCCCGGUGCCGGAAGGUUAAUUGAUGGGGUCAGCGCAAGCGAAGCUCCUGAUCGAAGCCCCGGUAAACGGCGGCCGUAACUAUAACGGUCCUAAGGUAGCGAAAUUCCUUGUCGGGUAAGUUCCGACCUGCACGAAUGGCGUAAUGAUGGCCAGGCUGUCUCCACCCGAGACUCAGUGAAAUUGAACUCGCUGUGAAGAUGCAGUGUACCCGCGGCAAGACGGAAAGACCCCGUGAACCUUUACUAUAGCUUGACACUGAACAUUGAGCCUUGAUGUGUAGGAUAGGUGGGAGGCUUUGAAGCGUGGACGCCAGUCUGCGUGGAGCCGACCUUGAAAUACCACCCUUUAAUGUUUGAUGUUCUAACGUGGACCCGUAAUCCGGGUUGCGGACAGUGUCUGGUGGGUAGUUUGACUGGGGCGGUCUCCUCCUAAAGAGUAACGGAGGAGCACGAAGGUUGGCUAAUCCUGGUCGGACAUCAGGAGGUUAGUGCAAUGGCAUAAGCCAGCUUGACUGCGAGCGUGACGGCGCGAGCAGGUGCGAAAGCAGGUCAUAGUGAUCCGGUGGUUCUGAAUGGAAGGGCCAUCGCUCAACGGAUAAAAGGUACUCCGGGGAUAACAGGCUGAUACCGCCCAAGAGUUCAUAUCGACGGCGGUGUUUGGCACCUCGAUGUCGGCUCAUCACAUCCUGGGGCUGAAGUAGGUCCCAAGGGUAUGGCUGUUCGCCAUUUAAAGUGGUACGCGAGCUGGGUUUAGAACGUCGUGAGACAGUUCGGUCCCUAUCUGCCGUGGGCGCUGGAGAACUGAGGGGGGCUGCUCCUAGUACGAGAGGACCGGAGUGGACGCAUCACUGGUGUUCGGGUUGUCAUGCCAAUGGCACUGCCCGGUAGCUAAAUGCGGAAGAGAUAAGUGCUGAAAGCAUCUAAGCACGAAACUUGCCCCGAGAUGAGUUCUCCCUGAGACUUAGAGUCUCCUGAAGGAACGUUGAAGACGACGACGUUGAUAGGCCGGGUGUGUAAGCGCAGCGAUGCGUUGAGCUAACCGGUACUAAUGAACCGUGAGGCUUAACCUU
Molecule: ribosomal RNA, 3007 nt
Filed under: Salmonella enterica subsp. enterica serovar Thompson
Lineage: Bacteria; Pseudomonadati; Pseudomonadota; Gammaproteobacteria; Enterobacterales; Enterobacteriaceae
Description: 23S ribosomal RNA
Rfam family: Bacterial large subunit ribosomal RNA
Source: RNAcentral